GUAACAAGGUUUCCGUAGGUGAACCUGCGGAAGGAUCAUUAUCGAGUUUUGAACGGGUUGUAGCUGACCUCUUUUUGGGGUAUGUGCACGCCUGGCUCAUCCCCUCUCAACCUCUGUGCACUUCAUGUAAGAGAACGGUGUAAGCUGAUUUUGUAAAGAAGUCAGUGACAAGCCUUCUCUUGCGUUUUACCACAAACACUUCAGUUAUAGAAUGUUUACUGUGUAUAACACAAUUAUAUACAACUUUCAGCAACGGAUCUCUUGGCUCUCGCAUCGAUGAAGAACGCAGCGAAAUGCGAUAAGUAAUGUGAAUUGCAGAAUUCAGUGAAUCAUCGAAUCUUUGAACGCACCUUGCACUCCUUGGUAUUCCGAGGAGUAUGCCUGUUUGAGUCUCAUGGUAUUCUCAACCCCUAAAUUUUUCUAGUGAAGAUUUGGUGGGCUUGGACUUGGAGGUUGUGUUGGCUCUCGCUAGUCGACUCCUCUGAAAUACAUUAGUGUGAACCUUACGGAUCGCCUUCAGUGUGAUAAUUAUCUGCGCUGUGGUGGUGAAGUAUUUAUUGUAUUCACGCUUCUAACCGUCUCUCCUUCGAGACAAAUACUUUGACAAUCUGAGCUCAAAUCAGGUAGGAUUACCCGCUGAACUUAAGCAUAUCAAUAAGCGGAGGAAAAGAAACUAACAAGGAUUCCCCUAGUAACUGCGA
RNAcentral lists this ribosomal RNA (701 nucleotides) under Flavodon sp. BAB-4912. Its description in RNAcentral is "eukaryotic LSU rRNA". The stretch from base 242 to 395 matches the Rfam family "5.8S ribosomal RNA". The record is from RNAcentral. Lineage: Eukaryota; Fungi; Basidiomycota; Agaricomycetes; Polyporales; Irpicaceae.